GAUGAACGCUGGCGGCGUGCCUAAUACAUGCAAGUCGAGCGAACAGACGAGGAGCUUGCUCCUCUGACGUUAGCGGCGGACGGGUGAGUAACACGUGGAUAACCUACCUAUAAGACUGGGAUAACUUCGGGAAACCGGAGCUAAUACCGUAUAACAUGUUGAACCGCAUGGUUCAACAGUGAAAGACGGUCUUGCUGUCUCUUAUAGAUGGAUCCGCGCCGCAUUAGCUAGUUGGUAAGGUAACGGCUUACCAAGGCAACGAUGCGUAGCCGACCUGAGAGGGUGAUCAGCCACACUGGAACUGAGACACGGUCCAGACUCCUACGGGAGGCAGCAGUAGGGAAUCUUCCGCAAUGGGCGAAAGCCUGACGGAGCAACGCCGCGUGAGUGAAGAAGGUCUUCGGAUCGUAAAACUCUGUUAUUAGGGAAGAACAAAAGUGUAAGUAACUAUGCACGUCUUGACGGUACCUAAUCAAAAAGCCACGGCUAACUACGUG
Molecule: ribosomal RNA, 497 nt
Filed under: uncultured bacterium
Lineage: Bacteria
Description: partial 16S ribosomal RNA
Rfam family: Bacterial small subunit ribosomal RNA
Source: RNAcentral